Non-coding RNA from Tinamus guttatus (white-throated tinamou), 1013 nucleotides. NCBI's taxonomy places the organism in Eukaryota, Metazoa, Chordata, Aves, Tinamiformes, Tinamidae. The record is from RefSeq and is a predicted model, not a curated record.
AAAACAGCAAGCUUUUAGGCUCAGAAAGCUCAGACCAUCAUGGCUACGAAAACCGAACUGUGAGUCAGGAAGGAAAAAAAGGCGAUUCUGGAGCUCCUUAGUGAAACAGCAAGGCAAAACAACAUCAGAGCAGUUGCCAAGUGAUCUUCUCCACAGUACCCAUGAACUUCAGCCUUGAACUGAAGAGGACUCAUCAAAUGCUUGGGAGAUACAGCAUUGGAAUUGGAAGAGAAGCAGGGAUCUGCAUGAAGAACAGUCAACUGCAGUCUUGGUGUUUGAAGAGGCAGGUCCUGUUCUCACUGUUACUACUCCCACAUAGGUGGACUCUGUAACUGAUCAUGUGUGGGUAGGGCCCUAUUGAAAUUAAGGAGAUUCUGCCAUUGUACAGGGUUCUGUUUGUGAAAAUUCAAUUGCAAGAUCAGGACCCUACUGUGACUCCUUACUGUGCAUACUGUCAGUGUAUCAUUGAUUGUGCUGGAACCUGCCUUAUGGGAUAAUUACCAAAUAAUAUAUUCCUCAAAACUUCUUAAUGGCACUGAGGCUUUGUGGAUAGUUGGUCACAUGAUGAGAAAAUUCAGCUGCCCAUCAAGACUACUUCUACCUGAUAUCUCUUCUUCAGUAUCAAGAGGUUGACACUGAUUUUCAUCAACAUGUGAUGCCAGCUUCCAUCACUCAGUCGUUAAAUUUUCAGACAACACUGGAUACUUUCUCUUCAGCUGCCUCUCAUGCAUUGGUUGACUUCUUCAUAAACAGAACUGCUCACUAUCUUCCUUUAAAAUCUUCUUAAUGUGUUAUGUACUGUGAAGGUUAAAACAACCCAAGUAGACAAUAGGUAUAUUGCAAAUACAUUAAUGCCAAUGCUUGUCACAGUCGUACUGUGUCACUGCCUUUGUACUCUGCCAUAAUUUCUCUCUCGUCUCCUAUGUGUAGAAUUCAAGCACGUUGACGUUUUGUUCUAUGUUUAUUUGUGGCCCAGAGAAAUGGUAACGGGUCCAGGGUGAGGCCUCAUAAGA